This 250-nucleotide long non-coding RNA is filed under the name Gossypium barbadense (sea-island cotton). RNAcentral's name for it is "long non-coding RNA (GBAR_LNC000802)". The record is from RNAcentral. Lineage: Eukaryota; Viridiplantae; Streptophyta; Magnoliopsida; Malvales; Malvaceae.
ACGACAUCAAAAACAAACAGUCUCAGUUGCUCGACAUUGACCUGGAUGACGUCGACCACAUUGAAGACACUCGGGUCUAUCAGUUUGAAUACUGCCAACACUCGCAAUUGAAGUGGUCUGAGCUUUCUGACCUAUAAAUCUUCUACCUCUGUUUCGGCUAGAAUACCUGCUAAAAAACUAGAUCUCGUAGAGAACUCUCUAGGCCUAUUGGAUGUAGACUAAAAUGACUUGCUCAUCUGUCUUUUCUUCG